Molecule: ribosomal RNA, 468 nt
Filed under: uncultured bacterium
Lineage: Bacteria
Description: partial 16S ribosomal RNA
Rfam family: Bacterial small subunit ribosomal RNA
Source: RNAcentral
GACGAACGCUGGCGGCGUGCUUAACACAUGCAAGUCGAACGGAAAGGCCCUGCUUUUGUGGGGUGCUCGAGUGGCGAACGGGUGAGUAACACGUGAGUAACCUGCCCUUGACUGUGGGAUAACUUCAGGAAACUGGGGCUAAUACCGGAGAGGAGCUCCUGCUGCAUGGUGGGGGUUGGAAAGUUUCGGCGGUUGGGGAUGGACUCGCUGCUUAUCAGCUUGUUGGUGGGGUAGUGGCUUACCAAGGCUUUGACGGCUAGGCGGCCUGAGCGGGUGGACGGGCACAUGAGGACUAAGAGACGGCGCAGUCUCCUACGGGAGGCAGCAGUGGGGAAUAUUGCACAGCGGCCGGACGCGUGAUGCAGCAACGCUCCGUGCGGGAUGCCGGCUUACGGGGUGUAAACCGCUUUCGCCUGUGACGAAGCGUGCGUGACGGUAAUGGGUAAAGAAGCACCGGCUAACUACGUG